RNAcentral lists this ribosomal RNA (393 nucleotides) under uncultured bacterium. Its description in RNAcentral is "partial 16S ribosomal RNA". It matches the Rfam family "Bacterial small subunit ribosomal RNA", at positions 523 to 918 of the family's 1533-position model. The record is from RNAcentral.
AUACGGAGGAUGCGAGCGUUAUCCGGAUUUAUUGGGUUUAAAGGGAGCGUAGGUGGGAUAUUAAGUCAGCUGUGAAAGUUUGGGGCUCAACCUUAAAAUUGCAGUUGAUACUGGUUUCCUUGAGUACGGUACAGGUGGGCGGAAUUCGUGGUGUAGCGGUGAAAUGCUUAGAUAUCACGAAGAACUCCGAUCGCGAAGGCAGCUCACCGGACUGCAACUGACACUGAUGCUCGAAAGUGUGGGUAUCAAACAGGAUUAGAUACCCUGGUAGUCCACACAGUAAACGAUGAAUACUCGCUGUUUGCGAUAUACAGUAAGCGGCCAAGCGAAAGCAUUAAGUAUUCCACCUGGGGAGUACGCCGGCAACGGUGAAACUUAAAGGAAUUGACGGGG